Molecule: long non-coding RNA, 1084 nt
Filed under: Linum usitatissimum (flax)
Lineage: Eukaryota; Viridiplantae; Streptophyta; Magnoliopsida; Malpighiales; Linaceae
Description: long non-coding RNA (LUSI_LNC007862)
Source: RNAcentral
CGGGAUUUGUAGGAAAAACCACAGAUUUCUAGAGAGUCGUCCACGGCAAGCAGAAUUGAUCUGUUGCCAAACCCCGGAGGCACAAGAACCAUGGUUGAGAGACUACUAAGUAAUAGGCAAGUUCUAUACAUACCUUGCAUCUCAAGUAUCAUAUUUAUCUCAUUAAUUUCAUAGGUAACCUUCUGAUCCUCUAAAUGGCUUCCAGCAGCUCGACGACAAGUCACCGAGAAUGCAUGGAAACGUUCAGCUGUGGGUUAGCUUCACAUGAGUUACUCUCCCCAACACAUGUCCUGCAAAAUUCACACGAUUACUUUGGUUCUUCAAACAUGGCCAACAAUAUUUCAAUGAAUGCUAUGAGCAACCAUCCUUUGUCCAUUUUACGAAGUCAUGGCAAGGAGACCUCCUACAUGUGAAGCAUUUGAGAGGAAGUUAUGAUUUCUUCAGAAAGGAGGUGGGAGGUAGCUGAGGUUGGACAUAUGUAGAUUUCUUGUCCUUCAAGCUUGUCCCUAUUCGUUGUUAGAGGGUUAAUGGAUUGUGUAUAUAUAAAAGCUCGUUCAUUCCGUACGUUUUGAAGGAUGGCGAGGAGAGUUGUUGCUCGGGCAUGGAGUGAACGACGAGGAAAAGGAAAGUGUAGGUAUAUAGUUCAUAUAUAAACUUAGUUGCAAAGUAUAUCAUAUACUGUAUAUAAAUAUGUUCAAUUGUUCAUUUCUUCCGGGGGUUAAUCUUCCUCGAAAUUUGUUACUCUAAAGUGCUUUGAGCUAUAGGAAAUGAGCGAGUUUCGAUAGAGGCUUGUGGGCGUUUGACCCUAUUUGAUCCUGCUGAGUGAUUCAACGAUAACUUUGAAAUGUAAGCAAGCCUUUACAGAUUCCAAACAAGACCCUGAAACUGUCAUUUGAGAAAUUUAUUACAUUUGGAAAAUGUAAUGGGGUUGUGUGAUUAUUGUCAAACUUAGGAUCUGCUUCAUGGUAUGGGUUCAGACGUUCAGUAGCAGAGAGAGAGAGAGAGAGAGAGUAAUGACUAAUGAAUGAAUGAAUGCAGAAGAGAGAGAGAGAGAAGAAGAAGGCAGAAGUUGUCUUGAAUAGUG